Picea glauca (white spruce) is the source of this 114-nucleotide non-coding RNA. NCBI's taxonomy places the organism in Eukaryota, Viridiplantae, Streptophyta, Pinopsida, Pinales, Pinaceae. The record is from Rfam.
GAGAGCACAGUACGAUGAAAGUUGUGAGUUGUGUUCGGGGAGGAGUUAUUGUCUAUCGUUGGCCUCUAUGGUAGAAUCAGUCGAGGAGGCCUGAGAGAUGGUGGUUUACCCUGU